GAUGAACGCUAGCGGCAGGCUUAACACAUGCAAGUCGAACGGUAACAUGAGAGCUUGCUCUUGAUGACGAGUGGCGCACGGGUGCGUAACGCGUAUGCAACCUACCUUCAACAGGGGGAUAGCCCGAAGAAAUUCGGAUUAAUACCCCAUAAUAUUACAGAUUCGCAUGUUUCUGUAAUUAAAGCUUCGGCGGUUGAAGAUGGGCAUGCGUCCCAUUAGUUUGUUGGUGAGGUAACGGCUCACCAAGACUACGAUGGGUAGGGGGCCUGAGAGGGUGAUCCCCCACACUGGUACUGAGACACGGACCAG
RNAcentral lists this ribosomal RNA (309 nucleotides) under uncultured bacterium. RNAcentral describes it as "bacterial SSU rRNA". It matches the Rfam family "Bacterial small subunit ribosomal RNA", at positions 28 to 334 of the family's 1533-position model. The record is from RNAcentral.